RNAcentral lists this long non-coding RNA (1401 nucleotides) under Homo sapiens (human). RNAcentral describes it as "HSALNT0406132". Lineage: Eukaryota; Metazoa; Chordata; Mammalia; Primates; Hominidae. The record is from RNAcentral.
UGGAAGCCCGGGGGUUGUUGGGUCUUCACCCGGGAAAUGGGGAGAGAGACUGCGGGGCAGCUGGCACCACAUACGUGCCUUACAGGUGGGGUGUGGGGACUUAGGAGGGCUUAGCACCCAGAGCAUUAGCCCAGGGCCUGGCCCCUGGUGGCUUCUCCCGGCCGCUGGCUGCUUGGCAGGGCUGGAGGGGAGGAGACCCACAGUUUCGGGCUUGAGUCACCUCCCUCCUGGCCAGGCUUCGGCGGCACUGACUCAGCGCCUGCGUGAGCUGGAUGCUGCCUGGAAAGCUAAUCAGCCUCUGAGGGGAGAGGAGAGGAGAAGAAAUGGUGGUAGAGAAAGAAAGGCAAGGGGAGCUGUGCAGAACCACCCGGAAGCUUGAGAGUUCAACGCGGAGAACCUGCUCUGUGCCAGGCCCCCACCUGGGAGUUGUGCGUGAAAUCAGGACCCAGAUGCUGCAGAACUGAAGUGGGAAGGGACUGACCACCACUGGGCAAAAGGCCGAAGAGGGUAGGCCACAGAGGGGCUGUCUCUAAGGGCUAAAAAUACAAGGGUUGAGACCAACUGAAGUGUGGCGAUUUCCUUGACGUUGGCAUUUUGGUUUUGUUUUCCUUUUUUUAAGAUAAGAGUUAUAUAGUAACUCAGAGCUCAGUAACAUCAGCAUUUUGGAAGUAGGAUAGGAAGAAAGUCUCAUCACAAGGGAGCCCUGUGGAGAGGAAUGAGCACAGAAUUUGGAGUCAGAAGAGUGGAAGGCCUGGGCUUGGGGCCUGGCUGCACCGUGCCGGCUGGAUUGUUCUGGGAAAGCUGCCCAACUCUCUGCUCCGCAGUCCCCACAUCUGUCACUAGGGAUCAUAUCUGCCUCACAGGAUCAGCUGAGAUAAGGCACGUGUGUAAAAGGCUGUACAAAUGUUAGUUACUAUAAGGUUGUCUCAAAAAAAUAAAACCCACGGCAAAGAGUAUCCCAAGGCAGGCUCAUUUUACUCCAAUUACCAUUUGGCACCGAGCAGAUCAGGGGACUUACUGCAUGACACAGCAAGUCAGUGGAAGAGCCAAGGAGUGCACUCAUCCAAGUUACUGAUUCCGAUGUCAGCAAAACCUGCUGAAACCCAUCUUCACACUGCAGUUCAGAGGGUGUCCCCAGGAAGCACCUCUCUGCAAAGCAUGUUCAACGUAGUUCCCAGUGGCCUGCCAAAUGGUCAGCAGCAAGGUGUAACUGGAUGUCGCUUCCAGGAAGCAGAGUGAAAAGAGACAAGGAGUAGGAAACUAAUGUCCAGAGUCGGCCAUUUGCCCCAGGGACCGGAGUGGAGACUGCAUUUCUAAGUGCUUCCUCUGUCCACAGCCCUCCUCCCCCAUACCUUUUAAAAACAGAUUUGCUGGCUGGGUACGGUGGCUCAUGCCUGUAAU